RNAcentral lists this ribosomal RNA (407 nucleotides) under uncultured bacterium. RNAcentral's name for it is "partial 16S ribosomal RNA". It matches the Rfam family "Bacterial small subunit ribosomal RNA", at positions 28 to 526 of the family's 1533-position model. The record is from RNAcentral.
GACGAACGCUGGCGGCGUGCCUAAUACAUGCAAGUAGGACGCAGUUGCGAACGUGUGAGUAACGCGUAGGUAACUACCUAUUAGAGGGGGCUAACUAUUGGAAACGAUAGCUAAUACCGCAUACUAGUAGAUGGACCUGCGUUGUAUUAGCUAGUAGGUAGGGUAAAGGCCUACCUAGGCAACGAUACAUAGCCGACCUGAGAGGGUGAUCGGCCAGACUUGGACUGGGACAAGGGCCAGACUCCUACGGGAGGCAGCAGUAGGGAAUCUUCGGCAAUGGGGGGAAACCUGACCGAGCAACGCCGCGUGAGGGAAGAAGGUUUUCGGAUCGGAAAGCUCUGUUGUUAAGGAAGCGGUACUUAACCAGAAAGGGACGGCUAACUACGUGCCAGCAGCCGCGGUAAUUC